Molecule: ribosomal RNA, 254 nt
Filed under: uncultured bacterium
Lineage: Bacteria
Description: partial 16S ribosomal RNA
Rfam family: Bacterial small subunit ribosomal RNA
Source: RNAcentral
UACGAAGGGGGCUAGCGUUGCUCGGAAUCACUGGGCGUAAAGCGCACGUAGGCGGCUUGUUAAGUCAGGGGUGAAAUCCUGGAGCUCAACUCCAGAACUGCCUUUGAUACUGAAGAUCUUGAGUUCGGGAGAGGUGAGUGGAACUGCGAGUGUAGAGGUGAAAUUCGUAGAUAUUCGCAAGAACACCAGUGGCGAAGGCGGCAUCCUGGACCAAUUCUGACGCUGAGUGAGCGAAAGCCAGGGGAGCAAACGGG